GAUGAACGCUGGCGGCGUGCCUAAUACAUGCAAGUCGAGCGAGCAGACGAGGAGCUUGCUCCUCUGACGUUAGCGGCGGACGGGUGAGUAACACGUGGAUAACCUACCUAUAAGACUGGGAUAACUUCGGGAAACCGGAGCUAAUACCGGAUAAUAUAUUGAACCGCAUGGUUCAAUAGUGAAAGACGGUUUUGCUGUCACUUAUAGAUGGAUCCGCGCCGCAUUAGCUAGUUGGUAAGGUAACGGCUUACCAAGGCAACGAUGCGUAGCCGACCUGAGAGGGUGAUCGGCCACACUGGAACUGAGACACGGUCCAGACUCCUACGGGAGGCAGCAGUAGGGAAUCUUCCGCAAUGGGCGAAAGCCUGACGGAGCAACGCCGCGUGAGUGAUGAAGGUCUUCGGAUCGUAAAACUCUGUUAUUAGGGAAGAACAAAUGUGUAAGUAACUAUGCACGUCUUGACGGUACCUAAUCGGAAAGCCACGGCUAACUACGUG
RNAcentral lists this ribosomal RNA (497 nucleotides) under uncultured bacterium. Its description in RNAcentral is "partial 16S ribosomal RNA". It matches the Rfam family "Bacterial small subunit ribosomal RNA", at positions 28 to 507 of the family's 1533-position model. The record is from RNAcentral.